RNAcentral lists this ribosomal RNA (254 nucleotides) under uncultured bacterium. RNAcentral describes it as "partial 16S ribosomal RNA". It matches the Rfam family "Bacterial small subunit ribosomal RNA", at positions 524 to 776 of the family's 1533-position model. The record is from RNAcentral.
UACGAAGGGUGCAAGCGUUACUCGGAAUUACUGGGCGUAAAGCGUGCGUAGGUGGUUUGUUAAGUCUGUUGUGAAAGCCCCGGGCUCAACCUGGGAAUGGCAAUGGAUACUGGCAAGCUAGAGUGCGGUAGAGGGUAGUGGAAUUCCUGGUGUAGCGGUGAAAUGCGCAGAUAUCAGGAGGAACACCGGUGGCGAAGGCGGGUCUCUGGGCAAUAACUGACGCUGGAGGAGCGAAAGCGUGGGGAGCGAACAGG